This 1303-nucleotide ribosomal RNA is filed under the name metagenome. RNAcentral's name for it is "bacterial SSU rRNA". It matches the Rfam family "Bacterial small subunit ribosomal RNA", at positions 195 to 1489 of the family's 1533-position model. The record is from RNAcentral.
UGCAGGGGAUCGCAAGACCUUGCGCUGAUUGAGCGGCCGAUAUCAGAUUAGCUUGUUGGUGAGGUAAAAGCUCACCAAGGCGACGAUCUGUAGCGGGUCUGAGAGGAUGAUCCGCCACACUGGAACUGAGACACGGUCCAGACUCCUACGGGAGGCAGCAGUGGGGAAUUUUGGACAAUGGGGGCAACCCUGAUCCAGCCAUGCCGCGUGAGUGAAGAAGGCCUUCGGGUUGUAAAGCUCUUUCAGCCGGGAAGAAAACGCAUGGGUUAUACCCUGUGUGGAUGACGGUACCGGAAUAAGAAGCACCGGCUAACUACGUGCCAGCAGCCGCGGUAAUACGUAGGGUGCGAGCGUUAAUCGGAAUUACUGGGCGUAAAGCGUGCGCAGGCGGUUUUGUAAGACAGGCGUGAAAUCCCCGGGCUUAACCUGGGAACUGCGUUUGUGACUGCAAGGCUAGAGUACGGCAGAGGGGGGUGGAAUUCCACGUGUAGCAGUGAAAUGCGUAGAGAUGUGGAGGAACACCAAUGGCGAAGGCAGCCCCCUGGGUCGAUACUGACGCUCAUGCACGAAAGCGUGGGUAGCAAACAGGAUUAGAUACCCUGGUAGUCCACGCCCUAAACGAUGUCAACUAGGUGUUGGGAGGGUAAAACCUUUUAGUACCGGAGCUAACGCGUGAAGUUGACCGCCUGGGGAGUACGGCCGCAAGGUUAAAACUCAAAGGAAUUGACGGGGACCCGCACAAGCGGUGGAUGAUGUGGAUUAAUUCGAUGCAACGCGAAAAACCUUACCUACCCUUGACAUGCCAAGAACUUUCCAGAGAUGGAUUGGUGCCCGAAAGGGAACUUGGACACAGGUGCUGCAUGGCUGUCGUCAGCUCGUGUCGUGAGAUGUUGGGUUAAGUCCCGCAACGAGCGCAACCCUUGUCGUUAAUUGCCAUCAUUUAGUUGGGCACUUUAACGAGACUGCCGGUGACAAACCGGAGGAAGGUGGGGAUGACGUCAAGUCCUCAUGGCCCUUAUGGGUAGGGCUUCACACGUCAUACAAUGGUCGGUACAAAGGGUCGCCAAGCCGCGAGGUGGAGCCAAUCCCAGAAAGCCGAUCGUAGUCCGGAUCGCAGUCUGCAACUCGACUGCGUGAAGUCGGAAUCGCUAGUAAUCGUGGAUCAGAAUGUCACGGUGAAUACGUUCCCGGGUCUUGUACACACCGCCCGUCACACCAUGGGAGCGGGUUCCGCCAGAAGUAGGUAGCCUAACCGCAAGGAGGGCGCUUACCACGGCGGGGUUCGUGACUGGGGUGAAGUCGU